RNAcentral lists this long non-coding RNA (209 nucleotides) under Lathyrus oleraceus (garden pea). RNAcentral's name for it is "Pisum sativum (pea) long non-coding RNA (PSAT_LNC027989)". The record is from RNAcentral. Lineage: Eukaryota; Viridiplantae; Streptophyta; Magnoliopsida; Fabales; Fabaceae.
AAAUGGAAGAAAAGGAGGUGCAAAAAGGAGAGAAAAAGAACCAAAUGCCAAAGCCCAGCCCAAAGCGCAAAACAUAAAGGCACUACCUGUGACGGACGUCACAAGGUGCGUGACGAGCGUCACGCAAAGCAGCCUUGUGACGGGCGUCACACAUGGUGUGACGAGCGUCACACCAUUCCACUAUCUUUUUGGCGCAAGUAACGCCCUCA